GAUCGCUGUGAUGUGGGUGGUUCGCCGCCUAUGAUACAGCGAGAAGUUCAUUGAACCUUAUCAUUUAGAGGAAGGAGAAGUCGUAACAAGGUUUCCGUAGGUGAACCUGCGGAAGGAUCAUUG
RNAcentral lists this ribosomal RNA (123 nucleotides) under Disperis capensis. RNAcentral's name for it is "partial 18S ribosomal RNA". It matches the Rfam family "Eukaryotic small subunit ribosomal RNA", at positions 1713 to 1831 of the family's 1831-position model. The record is from RNAcentral. Lineage: Eukaryota; Viridiplantae; Streptophyta; Magnoliopsida; Asparagales; Orchidaceae.